This 518-nucleotide ribosomal RNA is filed under the name uncultured eukaryote. Its description in RNAcentral is "SSU rRNA". It matches the Rfam family "Eukaryotic small subunit ribosomal RNA", at positions 21 to 549 of the family's 1831-position model. The record is from RNAcentral.
UAGUCAUAUGCUUGUCUCAAAGACUAAGCCAUGCAUGUCUAAGUAUAAAUGGUAUACAGUGAAACUGCGAAUGGCUCAUUAAAACAGUUAUAGUUUAUUUGGUAAUCGAAUUUACAUGGAUAACCGUGGUAAUUCUAGAGCUAAUACAUGCUGUAAGCCCGACUUUUCGGAAGGGCCGUAUUUAUUAGGUAACAGACCAAUGCCCCCCCGGGCUUUGUGGUGACUCAUAGUAACUAAUCGGAUCGCAUGGGCCUGUCCCGCGACAAACCAUUCAAGUUUCUGCCCCAUCAGCUUUCGAUGGUAGUGUAUUGGACUACCAUGGCUUUUACGGGUAACGGAGGAUUAGGGUUCGAUUCCGGAGAGGGAGCCUGAGAAACGGCUACCACAUCUAAGGAAGGCAGCAGGCGCGUAAAUUACCCAAUCCCAAUUCAGGGAGGUAGUGACAAGAAAUAAUGGGUCGGAACUAACGUUCCGGGACCGCAAUGAGAUGAAUUUACACCCCUUUUCGAGGAUCAAUU